GAUGAACGCUAGCGGGAGGCUUAACACAUGCAAGUCGAGGGGCAGCAUAGGGUAGCAAUACUCUGAUGGCGACCGGCGCACGGGUGAGUAACGCGUAUGCAACCUACCCUUUACCGGGGGAUAGCUCGGAGAAAUCCGGAUUAAUACCCCAUGACAUUCCGGGGGCGCAUGUUUCCGGGAUUAAAACUACGGUGGUAAAGGAUGGGCAUGCGUAACAUUAGCUAGUUGGUGAGGUAACGGCUCACCAAGGCUACGAUGUUUAGGGGACCUGAGAGGGUGAUCCCCCACACUGGUACUGAGACACGGACCAGACUCCUACGGGAGGCAGCAGUGAGGAAUAUUGGUCAAUGGGCGCAAGCCUGAACCAGCCAUCCCGCGUGCAGGAAGAAGGCGCUAUGCGUUGUAAACUGCUUUUGCAGGGGAAGAAACACCGGUCGUGACCGGGACUGACAGUACCCUGUGAAUAAGCAUCGGCUAACUCCGUGCCAGCAGCCGCGGUAAAAGUCACG
Molecule: ribosomal RNA, 509 nt
Filed under: uncultured bacterium
Lineage: Bacteria
Description: bacterial SSU rRNA
Rfam family: Bacterial small subunit ribosomal RNA
Source: RNAcentral